UAAACCAUAGAGAGGGAAAGUGUCAGCUUGGCACAACAGGUGUCCAUAAUUCUGCCUCCCUCCUCUCGAACUCUCAUCUCUUUCCUUCUUUGAUGCUCUCUAUGCCUCCCUUUCUCUCCCUCUUUCUCUUGGUUACGAAAGGAUUUCAGUUGGACUUAGUGGUGUUAGUGUUUCAGUUGGGCAGCUGGUUGGUAUUAUUGAUUGGGAUUUUCUAUCAACGAUGUGGGUGGGGUUUAUUGGUAGGUUUUCUCUUUGUUCUUUUUGUUUUCCUUGUUCCAAGAUCUGUUUUUUGGUUGUUUUAUUCUCUUUGGAAUGCAUACUCUCAUUCUCCUCUUUGUUCUUCUCAGAUUUGUUAGUUCUUCUCUGUUAUGGGUUUUUGUUUUUUGGUUGUUUUCUUUUGCUUUUGUUGGUUAAUGUGUUAGUUCUUCUCUGUUAUGGGUUCUUUUUUUUGGUUGUUUUCUUUUCCUUUUGCUGGUUGGUAAGUGUUGCAGUGGCUUCCUUCUCUGAUGGAGAUGGCUUUGUAUCUAGUGCAUGGUAAGGGUUUGCAGUUCGUCUGUUGGUUGUUCCCUUAUUGACACUGUGGUUACUGUGAUUCAUGGUGUCGAUGGUGACACACAGUGGUUACUGUGGCUCAUGGUGCCGAUGGUGACACACACACACGCAGAGAGAGAGAGAGAGAGAAAGUCUGCUCCUCUUCGUUCCUCUCUGAAUUGGCGUUGGCAUGACAACACCAAUGAGAGAUUCUUUAAGCUUCUUUGAGAGUUGAGCUAGCAGUGAAGCUACUACUAUAAUGGAUUCUUGUUGUACAACCUUGAAUCCCAAUGCCCAUCCUGUAGAAGUUAGGAAAGGGCUUAUUAAUGCAUACCAAGUUGGCGAAGAGUUUGAGAGCUGAUAAUGGAGAUAGAAAAAUCAAAAAUGGCAUUGCGGACUUCUCUAUUCUUUGGGAUGUCAAUAACGACAUUGUGUGAGACCACCCAAGCACCACUAUUUGGGAGGCAGAAGGCAGACCCAAAGAAAGAUGUUUAUAAGCUGACCAUGUGAGACGCACCUCGGAAAGAUAGAAGCAGCUGCACUUUAACCCUCCUAAAUCAGCACAUAGGUACAAUCCUGGGUCAAGACCAGUCUAGAUACAAAAUGUAAGGCCAGGCCUAACAACUUGCCAGGCCAGAUGGGAUGAGCUUCUCCACCAAGUUUGGGAUAACAUCUAUUAGUUUUAAAAUUUUUUUGUCAUUUUAAAUACAAUAGAUGGAUGCUAAUUAAAUUUAAAUUCAUGAUAUCAGAUUUCAUAACAGAUUUGGAUCUAAAGGUUUGGUAAUUGGAUCUUAGAUGGGGAUGUAGCUGGAUCGAAUCUGUUUACAUCCUUCCAUCGGAGCACUUUCUUCCUGCUGCUUCUUUUCUUCUUGCUUUCAAGGACCCAAUAACGUGAUAGAAACGAAGUUCUAUCCAACAUGCCGCAUUAGCUGGAUGACCUCUGUGAGCAGUUUAAUGGCAUGAAAGAGAGGACACGCUGAAAUUGGGUUUGACAUGUUAUUCACAAAUAGCAAGGAUUUCCUAUUUAGUGAAGAUAUCAACUUGGUCAGACUGGGUGUUCUGCUUGUAGUUGUCUGGUUUGCAAUCAACAUUGUAUUUCAGAAAAUGGUUCAAUGGUAAUCAUCUAACUAACUGAGUGAAAUUUAUCCAAUUAAUAAGUUAGGUUAUUUAUUUCACACUCUCUCUUUCUCUCUCUCUCUCUCUCUCUCUAUAUAUAUAUAUAUGAAUCAAUGAAACUCUAUCGAGAAUGCAUGUAGUGGAGUGGAGAUGAAAAAUUCAAAUUGCUUUCUCCUAACCCCUGUUCUAAAUUGUUUUUGUUUCGUAGUUUCGUCUGGGUUCUUCUUCAAAAGUCUUGCUGUAUCAGUGAAUACAAAGUCUUGAUUCUACCUUGAGGUUUUGGAUUUUCAAUUCUAAGUGAGGAUUACAAUUUAGGCAUGUCAAAGUCUUGAUUCGUCUGGGUUAUUCUUCAAAAGUCGUGCUGUAUCAGUGAAUACAAAGUCUUGAUUCUACCUUGAGGUUUUGGAUUUUCAAUUCUAUGUGAGGAUUACAAUUUAGGCCCGUCAAAGUUUUAUUGUUGCUUUUUUGUUAUUUUUCUACUACAGAGGCAUGUUUUUAUUUUUAUUUUUUUUCUUUAUUUCCUUCUCUUUUGCUUCUUGCUUGAGGCCUAAACAGGGGCUCUGCCUUUAUCUUCUUAUUCUUUGUGAUGACAGCUAGCUUUUCCACCAUUUAGAGAAACAUGGAAGGUUCUCUGAGUCGAAAACCCUAGUGCUUUUCAGUCAUCUAAUGCAAGUUGUGAUACUGUGAUGUAUUGUCAUGACAAAGGCAUUUGUAUGUCAACAAUUUCUUAUUGGACUAGCAAGUUUAGGCAUUUGUAUUAUGGAUUUGUCAUUUUGGUAUGUUGGGUUUUAGAUUCAUAGGAUGGAUGAAGGAGACAAAUGCAAGUUAUAUAAGGAUGAUGUUUUAACUGUAGAUUAAUUGAGUCGCAAGUGGAAUGUUUUGGUCUUUUAGUACUAGAUUUUUAUAUGUUUCCUCUUCAUUCAUAAUCACAUCAUGUUUUUAAAUUUUUCAUUUUGUUAUUUUUUGUUUUGGAUAAUCUAUUCUUAAAGUAAGAUCUAUCCUUUUCUUUGUAGGUUUUGUUUAUAUCUAUAGAGCAUAUAGAUAUUUUGUUUACAUUAUAUUUAAGAAUUUUGUUUCAUAUUUGCGGCAUUGACAAUAUCCAAUUGUUACUUCAUGAAGAGUUCUAAUUCAAAUGAUGGGACUUCACAUUGAACCAAGGCACCACCUAAUCAACUGAGAAGGCUUCUUUCUCCUUUCCGUCUCUGUGCUUUUUUUUUUUUUUUAAUUUAUUUUAUUUGUUACUCCCUAUAAUUUGUAUAAAUUUGAACACCUCUCUUUAGUUUACAAGAAUGAUGAUGAACCUGUCUUUUGAACUUU
Molecule: non-coding RNA, 2964 nt
Organism: Nelumbo nucifera (sacred lotus)
Lineage: Eukaryota; Viridiplantae; Streptophyta; Magnoliopsida; Proteales; Nelumbonaceae
Source: RefSeq, a predicted model, not a curated record